GAUGAACGCUGGCGGCGUGCCUAAUACAUGCAAGUCGAGCGAACGGACGAGAAGCUUGCUUCUCUGAUGUUAGCGGCGGACGGGUGAGUAACACGUGGAUAACCUACCUAUAAGACUGGGAUAACUUCGGGAAACCGGAGCUAAUACCGGAUAAUAUUUUGAACCGCAUGGUUCAAAAGUGAAAGACGGUCUUGCUGUCACUUAUAGAUGGAUUCGCGCUGCAUUAGCUAGUUGGUAAGGUAACGGCUUACCAAGGCAACGAUGCAUAGCCGACCUCGGAGGGUGUGCGGCCACACUGGAACUGAGACACGGUCCAGACUCCUACGGGAGGCAGCAGUAGGGAAUCUUCCGCAAUGGGCGAAAGCCUGACGGAGCAAAGCCGCGUGAGUGAUGAAGGUCUUCGGAUCGUAAAACUCUGUUAUUAGGGAAGAACAUAUGUGUAAGUAACUGUGCACAUCUUGACGGUACCUAAUCAGAAAGCCACGGCUAACUACGUG
RNAcentral lists this ribosomal RNA (497 nucleotides) under uncultured bacterium. Its description in RNAcentral is "partial 16S ribosomal RNA". It matches the Rfam family "Bacterial small subunit ribosomal RNA", at positions 28 to 507 of the family's 1533-position model. The record is from RNAcentral.